This 544-nucleotide ribosomal RNA is filed under the name Coniochaeta sp. RNAcentral's name for it is "LSU rRNA". It matches the Rfam family "Eukaryotic large subunit ribosomal RNA", at positions 76 to 647 of the family's 3401-position model. The record is from RNAcentral. Lineage: Eukaryota; Fungi; Ascomycota; Sordariomycetes; Coniochaetales; Coniochaetaceae.
UGCCCCAGUAACGGCGAGUGAAGCGGCAACAGCUCAAAUUUGAAAUCUGGCUUCGGCCCGAGUUGUAAUUUGUAGAGGAUGCUUUUGGUGAGGUGCCUUCUGAGUUCCCUGGAACGGGACGCCAGAGAGGGUGAGAGCCCCGUAUAGUCGGCCACCGAUCCUCUGUAAAGCUCCUUCGACGAGUCGAGUAGUUUGGGAAUGCUGCUCAAAAUGGGAGGUAUAUCUCUUCUAAAGCUAAAUAUUGGCCAGAGACCGAUAGCGCACAAGUAGAGUGAUCGAAAGAUGAAAAGCACUUUGAAAAGAGGGUUAAAUAGCACGUGAAAUUGUUGAAAGGGAAGCGCUUGUGACCAGACUUGUGCCGGGCUGAUCAUCCAGUGUUCUCACUGGUGCACUCGACCCGGCUCAGGCCAGCGUCGGUUCUCGCGGGGGGAUAAAAGCUUCGGGAACGUGGCACCUCCGGGUGUGUUAUAGCCCGCUGCUUAAUACCUUCGCGGGGACCGAGGUUCGCGCUCUGCAAGGACGCUGGCAUAAUGGUCAUCAGCGA